RNAcentral lists this long non-coding RNA (25301 nucleotides) under Lactuca sativa (garden lettuce). RNAcentral describes it as "long non-coding RNA (LSAT_LNC004031)". The record is from RNAcentral. Lineage: Eukaryota; Viridiplantae; Streptophyta; Magnoliopsida; Asterales; Asteraceae.
UUGCAUCCUGGUAGUUAGGAUGGUAUAUGUUAAAGACCUGGUUAAGGUCGGUAUCCUGGUAUGUAGGAUGAUUCUAUGCUAGUGACUAGUUAGGUCGAUAUCCUGGUUAUGAUGAUGUUGUGUUAUGUAAUCUACUAGAUCGGUUUGAUUGGAUGCGAGUUGUUAUAUGAUUGAAUGUUUAUGUGCACAUGGCUGUUGGAUUGGGGUUGGGUUGAGGCGGGUCCUACUUUGUGUUGUAGGCCAACAUACCCAGGGUGGACCGGUUGUCCCAAAGGCCUAACGAGCGGUCCGGAUAGGCUGUAUGUAACAACCCGUUAUUUCCAGGCAUUAUAAACCGAGUCUUGNNNNNNNNNNNNNNNNNNNNNNNNNNNNNNNNNNNNNNNNNNNNNNNNNNNNNNNNNNNNNNNNNNNNNNNNNNNNNNNNNNNNNNNNNNNNNNNNNNNNGCAUUUUGUUUGAUAGUGGAGCGGAAAGGAGUUUUGUGAGUCACCCCAGAUUCAAGGGCAUGUUCGGGACUUCGAUAAUAUGAAGCCUCAUACCUUCGAUGGGGUGCAGGACCCGAUUGUUGCUAUGAAAUGGUUGUCGGAUGUGGAGGGGUGUUUCUUCACGUGUUCAUGCCCUGCUGAUCAGAGGGUGAGGUGUGCUCUGAACCUGUUGAGGCUCGGGGAGAAGGAUUGGUGGAGAUUGACUACGGGGUCAUUUUCGGAUGCGCAGAGAGCUACGGUUUCAUGGGAUCAGUUUCAGGAGAUGUUCAGCACUCUUUAUGUUCAACGGGUUGAGAGGGAGAGAUUGGCUCAGGAGUUCCUUGAGCUGAAGCAGGAUUCGAAGUCGAUGACGGAGAUCACUAGGAUGUUCACUGAGUGGGUGAUGUUUUGCCCUGAGUUCGCUUUGGAGCAGGCUCAGAUGUCCCGAUAUCUGAGUAUGCUCAAGAGGGAUAUCAGGCAGUUUGUGUCUACGCAGAGGUGUGAGACCUUUUUAGAGUUGCAAGAGGCCGCCAGGUGGCGUGAGUUGGAGAUUGAGUUGCAGUUGCGAGAGCAGAGGCAGGCUCCGGUGCAGUCGUAGUCGGCGCCGAAACGGUCCAAGACCGUUGAUUCUAGAUUGGGAGAUCAGAGCAGCCACACUUGUGGGAAGUGUGGGAAGGGUCACACCGGAGUUUGUAGGUCCAUUGGUGCAUGCCGCAAGUGCGGAAAGGAGGGACCCUAUGCGAGGGAUUGUCGGCAGGCAGCCCCAGGUCGGAAUUUGAGGAUUUGUUAUAAUUGUCAUCAGGUUGGACACUUGAGGGUCAACUGUCCACAGCUUGCUGCAGGUCUGGUGCAGGCUCCAGCACCGGCCACAUUGAGGAUCACGGGGGGAGUGGAGCCCCCAAGGGCUCAGGGUCGUGCUUUUCAGCUUACAACAGAGGAGGUCAGGGUAGUGCCAGAUGCAACUGCAGGUAUCUUUCUUUCUUGAUGUCUUGUUAUCUUAUGAUUUUUGUGGAGUAAUUUUUAUCUGCUAGUCUCGUUGUGUGGUUUUCGGUAUUGUAUUCGUUGUUCUUUGAGGGUUAUGGUAUGAUUAUGGGCUUAGUGUUGAGAAUUUCGUUGGUUAUCAUUCAUGAGGGGCAUUAGUGGGAAUCUACCGUUUGGUCUGAAUAUCGGGCAACAUCUGCAGUCUGAGGAAGGGUUAGCUGAAGGUUGGGUUUCUUUCAAGCCGAGAUGAUCCGUUUUGAAAUGUGAUUUUGUGAAGGUUGCUCGUUCUAGUGGGAAGAAGUUCGUGUGCAAGGGAUGGUGUUGUGUAAGGUUGAUAAGCGAGGUCGGUGAUGGCGACCGGUGGUUGAUAGUCAGUGCUCUAAGUAGGGGAGAAUUGGAAAAUUCUCCGGAAGAUCGAUGGGCAUGAGAGGUUGUUUAGCUGCUUGAGAUUCAACAGUGUUUCUGUCAUCCAAGAGCGUAGGCUGGUAUGAGUAAGUGGCAGGCAUGCAGGGCGAGAUAUAGACCAAGGGUGAUUGAUUGUGGAAGGCCUGAGAUCGGGCCGGGUUUGAGUAUGUAGGAUGGAGAUAGAGUUCGGAACCCCUAGAGGGCUAGAACAGUAACCAUGGGAGAGUUUCCCGGAGGAAUGACUCGGAAUGAUGAAUGCUAGAUGAGUGGUCCGGAUAGACUGAAGACCGGUAGGCAUACCAGUCAGGCCGAAGGCUCGGAGAACAGUCCAGCCAGGCUGAAGGCCCUGGUGGGCGGUCCAGAUCUACUGAAGGUUCCGAGAGUGGUCCAGAUUGGCUAAAGGCCUGGUAAGGCAGUCCAGUCAUGCUGAAGACUCUGCAUGUGUUGAUAGAUCGGUAUGAGGAAAUGGAUUGAGUAUGUCGCGAUGUGUUAGCGUCAAAAGGUCUGGCCAUGGGUACUGAUCGUGGUGGGUGGAAGGUAGAGCAUGGACUUGAGAGUUCUUGCGAGCGGAUCCAGAGCAUGUAUGGUUAAUAGGAUAGUGGUUAUUCUAUAAGAGAAUGAUGUAGUAUUGGGUGAGCAUCGUGGCACUUAUGGUAGUGUCAAGGCAGCCAAGUGGAUUUCCAUGGUAAAGGAAAGGAAAGGAAUGUAGCUCCGAGAGGGAGUGUAAGCUCAUGGAAGUGAAAGCAGUAGUGCAAAAUUAUGAUUGGGGUAUUCCAAUCAUGGUUGAUGAGCAGUGUGUCUGCAGCUGUGGUAUGGAAUCACAUUCAGGUUGGAUGUUGCUGAGACUCGGAAGGAAUGCAGGGAUGGAAUCUUGGAUUUCCAGUUUCAUUUUGAAUUAUGUGGUGGAAAUUCAUCCUGGGGGAAUGUUGGGAGGUGUCGUCAGUGUAUCGGGUUUUCCCAACCCAAAGAUGCUAGAGCCAGUUUAGCAUGGGUAUGAGAUUGCGGUGGAGAACUCAUGGGAGUUGCUCUGAGGCUGAAGGAUGUAUCAUCCUGUCAGCAUGGAGUGGAUAAAGUUGGGCUCAGACCGGGAAUUCUGGUGGUUCAUGGUUAUUUCUAGCUCGUAUGAGUCGAGUGAUUGUUGUGUUUUGGAGUGAGUGAAGUAUCAGGGAGUGGUGCUUAGUUGAUAAGUGUGGUUAUCAGAGGAUGGGGCCGGUGGCCGUCUUGAAGCGGUGGUCAGAACACCGCGGGGAGAAAAAUUGGGUUUUGGGUUUCAGUGGUUGUGCAUUGAGGAACCUGGUCUGGUUAAUGCCAGGUGGUGCAUUACGGGAGUAGUUCUGGAGUUGUGUUGCUGCAGGCUUCAAGGACGAAGCCUAAUUUAAGUGGGGGAGAAUUGUAACAUCUCGAGCUCAGGAAUGCAAGUUCAGGGUUCAAAGUGUAAAUUUGGAACGGCAACUCGGUGAGUCCAUGGAUGGACUUGACGAGUAGGGUCGCGACUCUGGUCGCGUGUUCAGUGACCAACUCGGCGAGUAGCAUGGGUGGACUCGGCGAGUUGGUGCUAAGUGGAGAAAACCCUAAUUCCGGGGGUUGAGGCAUAUAUAAAGAACAUAACACUUCUUCCCCAGCCUCUUUACCUUCCCUUUGAGUUCCAGAAACCCUAAAUUUGUGUGAGCUUUCCUUGGUGAGAGAUUAGAGCCUUGGAGGAGGUAACCUUGGAAGGAAAUUGAAGAGCAAGAAGAUUGGAGCAAGGGGCUUUGCAGAGAAUUGGCUCAUUCGUCAGCGGGAGCCUUCAUUUGAGGUAAUAAUCCUCUGUUUAAGCUUUUGUGCAUCUAGAUCUAUCAUUUGUGGGGGGGUUUUGGGGUAUAAAUGAGGUCCUUCUCAAGUUUGGUGUAAGAUCUGAGGUUGCUACCUCAGAUAUAGGUUGCUAAUGAUCCAAAAAGCCAUAAAGUCUAUACUCAAGAGUUGUUGGUGAAGUUCUUUUGUACCAAACCCAAACCCUAGAGUGUAACAUGCUUAGAUCUACUUGGAUUCACGUAAAGUUUGCCACUUUACAUGAUGGAUGGCUUGUAGAAGGGUAGAUCCACGGUUUAGAACUUCUUCAUGGCUUGGAAAGCCUCUGUAUGGUUUCAGAUCUAAGGGUACUCGGCGAGUCACAAGGAUGUACUCGGCGAGUUUCUUAAAGAAAGGCUGUAACUCGACGAGUUGGAAGAACAAAUCGGCGAGUUGGAUGAAGAUAAGCAAGGACUCGACGAGUUAAAAGAACAACUCGGUGAGCCUGUUGAAGAUAGCCUUGGACUCAGCGAGUCUGUUCUUGGACUCGGCGAGUCUGGUCGUGAGGCCCUAACCUUUCUUCUGGUUGAGCUGUGAAUCGGUGAGUCAAGGGAUGACUCAGUGAGUCGAGUGUAAAAGGACUCAGGGUUGUGGAACUCGGCGAGGCUCGGGGUGACUCGGUGAGUUGAGUCACGGAUUGGGGAAGUUCUGUGCAUGAGGACUCGGCGAGUCAUCGGGUUGACUCGGUGAGUAGAGUCAUUCAGGGGUUGACUUUGACUUUGACUUUGACCAAGGGUUCACCAGUUGAUUCACAGGGGCAUUUUUGUAAUUGUUGGCUUUUGUUUUGAGUUUAGUGUUUUGGUGUUAACCAGUGGUGGUGAUCGCAUCAGUGGUCAGAGCAACUGGGGUUUAUCUGUUCAGCCGGUAGUUGCGAGGUGAGUUAUCCUCACUAUAUCAACAAGGUCUAAGGCACCAAGGCCGACCCUUUGUCGGAUUGUAAUCCGGGUAUUGCUGUUAUGUUAUUGUGUUUGCUAUGUUGCAUCCUGGUAGUUAGGAUGGUAUAUGUUAGAGACCUGGUUAAGGUCGGUAUCCUGGUAUGUAGGAUGAUGCUAUGCUAGUGACCGGUUAGGUCGAUAUCCUGGUUAGGAUGAUGUUGUGUUAUGUGAUCUGCUAGAUCGGUUUGAUUGGAUGCGAGUUGUUAUAUGAUUGAAUGUUUAUGUGCAGAUGGUUGUUGGACUAGGGUUGGGUUGAGGCGGGUCCUGCAUUGUGUUGUAGGACAACAUACCCAGGGCGGACCAGUUGUCCCGAAGGCCCAACGAGCGGUCUGGAUAGGCUGUAGGCCCCAAGAGUGAGGACGAGACGUGUCAAGGCUCGGAGAGUGGAUUAGACCGACUAAAGGCCCGGCGCGGGCGAACCAGUCAUACUGUAGACUCAGAGAGUGGACCAGGUGGAUUGAAGGCCCGGCGCGGGCGGACCAAUCACACUGUAGACUCAAUGUAUAUGGCUAGACUCAGAGGGUGGACCAGGUGGACUGUUGGCCGGUGCGGCGGACCAGUCUCACAGUAGACCCGAAGGGCAUGGCUGUUCUAUGUUCUGUUAUGAUAUGGCAUGAUGUGCGUGUAUGGUAUAUAUGGUUGGUAUUUUGGGGGUAUCUCACUAAGCUUUCAGGCUUACAGUUGUGGUUUAAUGUUUUUUUCAGAUUCUUCAGGAGACUGUGGCAAGGGAAAGGCGUGAUCGUACCGUUUCUCAUGAUUAUGUUUUAUGUUGUGGUUGUAGGAAGACUUUGACAAUAAUUGUAUUAAAAACCUUUUUGUAAUAACUUUAUGAAACUGGGUACGUUGUUCUCAAAAAGUUUAAAUUGGUUGAAAUUUUUAAAGCAUUACUAAAAUAGGUAAAAAUCCCAAAAAUCCGCCUGUCUGACAGCUAAACUCGCCUAGUCCCCUUAUGGACUCGUCGAGUUCACCAUACUCGACGAGUCCACGUUGGAACUCGAUGAGUUUGGCUGGCAAAUGGCCAAAAACUCGAUCUUGCACCAUGAAUGAAUGUAUUAUGCAUCAAUACAAUAGAAACCGAUCAAGGCUCUGAUACCACUGAUGGGUUUUAGCCAUAAGAACAUCCUAUGUGCUCAUGCAAACCCUAAUGCUUGGAUCUAAGUUUCUCUAUUGUACAUGCAAUUCAUCCAAGAAUUUAAACCCUAGUUCUAGCAUACAAAUAAUCAUAUUAACUUGUGAAAGGGUGUUUAGAUCUUACCUUGAUUGUUAUAGAGUAAUAACAAUCUCAAUUCCUCCUUGUAAUGACUUUAGAAAGCUUGGAGUCACAAGUGUCACUCCUCUAAUGGUUUACAAACACCAAGAGCUAGAGGAUGAAGAAUAAGGAGAGAGGAGGCUGCCCAAGAAUGUCCAAACCCCUAGAAGAACUCUUUGCCACGUUUUUGGGGCUUAAGGGUACUAUAUAUACAUGUAGGCUAUUAGGGUUUUCAACUAGGAAACCCUAAUCUGACCACUUAAGCCCUAAGCAGCCCUUGGACCCUUUUAGAAUAUCCCUUGAAUGAUUUCUAAUGGGUUUCCCCAUAGAAUUCGUCCAACCUAUUAUUCCAAGGUAAUCCAUAGCCCAAAUGCAAUUAUCUUAUAAUUAUAGUUCCAGUCCCUUAAGUUUAAUUAAUCUCUUUUAGCCACAAAAUUAAUUAUCAAUUAAUUCUUGACGAAUAUUAAUUAAAGAAUAUGAUUUCUCCUUUAAUAUAUUAUUCUCAUAAUAUAUUAAUAAAUCAUAAUUAAUCUUCUCUCUCCAUAAUUCAUCAUAUCAAGUUGCUUUGGUGAUGGCAACCCAAAAGGACCAUGCACCAUCGGGUCAAGGACAUACCAAAAUAGUUAUGGACUUAGACACUAAUCUAACACUUCAGCCACAUACACGAAAUUCUCAGCCAUAUUUUGAUCAUUUUGCGGAUUUCGAAGUGUUCCUGAAGUUCCAAAUUUUAGAUAAGCUAGGAUGCUUCACUCUCUUCUUCUUCUUCUUCAUUUUGAUGUAGAUUUUUGCACGUUUUCUUUCUAAACUUAGAUUCUUUGCCUCUCCUUUGGCUAGAACCUUUUAUUCCAUCUUAGUGUUUGUAGAUUUUCACCAAGACAGAUUGCAUGUGUCAAAUAUGGUGAAAAUUUGGGAUUGAACCCAAGCUAAGAUCAAAAGGAAACUAGUAUGUUCUUGUGUCUUCUAAAAUCGGAUUCAACACCUUCAUUUUUUACUUUUCAUGUUCUCAUAUAAUAAAACCAUUUCUAAUACAUCAUAGAUGGUUGUUCACUUGAUGCAUGUGCUAGAAAUUGGAUUGUAGUGCAAAUCCUAGUGUAAGAUUAGGCUCCAAGGAGUUCAUUACAUCAAAGAACGAAACAUCCAUUUUUGGGGUCUUGGAUAAACCUAGAUCAAUGACUUGGAUCAAUGCACACCAAAGUUUCUUGUUCCUCUGUAAACUAUAGUAUGCUCUUCUUCAUUUUCUAUCAAAAAGAAUAUGCAUGUUGUUCUUUGUGAACAUAUGACCCAGAGUGACACUUUAAUCAACCAAAGAUAACAUGCAUUCCUUCAUAAAUAUUUGUUCCACUUUGGACAGCCAUAUCUCACUCAUUACUCAACCAAAUCAUGAUAUUAUAUUUCUGGAGACUAGUUUCCUGAAUUAACUUUCAAACCCAUGUGACCUUACUGUAAAACAUUAAGAAUUUGAUUUUUGCAAAUUUUUACAAAACCGUUGCGCAAACAGCUCUUUUUCUGUGAUCACUAGUUUUGCAUUACAUGAUCAAAGACCUUCAAUCCCACAAUAAAUCUAGAGAAAAAUAUUUUAUAAAUCUGACACAUUUAUCUUAGAAGAGCUAAAAGUUCAUGAAAUAAAACCUUAUAGAAGUUUCUACACAAAUUGUCGAACUUCCAGCUACAUUUGGAACUCAUGCACUAGUUAGUGCUAAAUUUCAAAACUUGUUGGCGGUAGAAUACCCCAUUUAGCUCUGAAAUUAACCAAAUUGUUUUAUGAAUGGUCAUUUUGAACCAAAUUAUUUUGAACCAAAUUGUUUUAAGAGAUAUUAUGUGAAACCCCAAGUGCUUAAACAAAAUCCUUAUUUUUCUAAGAAAUAAGAAUUUAAUGAACAUAAAUUCAAAAUAACCAUUUACAGAUGAGAUAAAAAUCUAAAAAAUUAUAGAAUUGAUGUAUUCAUACAAUAGGGAUCUCAUAUAAAUUAUUAUACGAUUUGGCCAUUGUUUGGUAUUUUAUUUAUAUUUUUUAUUGAAUUAGAGCAUGAAUUUACAAAAGCGUGUCAUAGGACUCAAGGGCUUGAAUCAAUAGUUUUCACAACUUUGUCAAUGAGAAACUGUAAAAAUUAAUUUGAGAAUUUUUGCAACUGUUUGCUAUUUACUUUCAUAUUAUUUAGAUUUAAAUUGCAAAUAAAUAACAACUGACCUUCAAAAUUCUCUAUAAACUUUCUGGACACUAAAACCCUCUGAUAGAACCGUAAUAUAAUGUUUUACAAUUUUUGAAGCUCAUUUUCAUUCCUUUAUGGAUUUUUGAACACAAGACACCAUGAAUUCAAUCAAUUUAAACAGAAAAUUCACAGUUUAAUGAAAUAAAUUUAAAAUUUUAAACACAAAAAUCACAGUCUAAUAGACAAUUAGGUGCUUAAUAUAGUCAAUUCACAAUUUAAACAAAAAAAUCAUACCUUAAUGUAGUUAAUUCAUAGCUUAUAACACAAAAAUCACAGCUUAAUAAAUAAAAUUUACAACUUUUUACAAUAAAUUCAUAGUUUAAGAAACAAAAAGUAUGAAAUUCAUAGUCAUAUUAUCAACUUAAAACUGUUAAUACAAUGAAUCCUAAGUUUAAUACACAAAAUUCACAGCUUAAUACAAUAAAUUCAUAGCUUAAUACACAUAAACUACAUAAUCACAUCCAUAUUCUCAAAUUAAAACUUAUAUUUAUACUUUCAUAUAUGGAGGCACGACUAUGUAUUAAACUGUGAAUUUAAUAUAUUAAGUCGUGAAUAAAAUUCAAAGCUUACUAUAUAAAAUUUGCAAUUUAAUACAAUACAUUCAUAACUCAUUUAGAAGUAUAAUAUCAUAUUUCAAUGCAUUAAACAAGUAACUUACUGUUUAAUAGAUACAUAAAUUAUAAAAUAUUUUUGAAGCAAACAUCAAAAUAAAAUAUAUACAUUAAUCAUAAAAGAUGAUGGAAUCAACAAAGAAGACGAGUGAGAAAUAAAACAUAUCCGUACUCUACCACUACCAUGAUUAUCAACACCACCAACUACAAUCAACCAUCGCCACCACCAACCACUGGUGCCAACACCUCCAAUAUCCUUCCUCAAAAAUCAGAUUUGGAUAAAAAUAAUAUACAUUUAGAGCUUAAUAACUUACAUAUUCACAAAUUAAUAAAUAAAAAAAAUACAUAUUCACAACUUAAUAACUUACCAAAUUUCAUUAAGGCAUUUCCUCAAACACUUUGUGUGUACCACAUACAUCAAAUGCAUAAUCACCACAAAACAUCAUAUCUGACAAGAUAUAUAAGAGUCUUAUCAUCUAUGAAGUCACGCGAUGUUGUUUAGUUCUCUGACGAAGUUUGACGGCAAUAACAGAUCCAGAUCUUGAGAAAAAAAAACAACACAUAACUUUCAAAGAUCUUAAAUGAAGAACACAAAACAAGAUGUUCAAUUUGAAGAAGGCAACACCAAAUCUCGUCUGAACUCGCGGAUCUGGAUAUCUGUUAUGACGAAAAUCAUAGAUGAGAACCGCUACUCACAGAUCUUAACAUUGGUGGUGCUAGAAAUAGUAGAUCUGGAACGAAGCUUGAAAUCUGAAGAUCUUGUGGUUUUAGACGACGAGCGGCGACGAUUGAGGUGGAUGUUCAGAUGUAGUUGUGGAACAGAUCUGUUGUGUCAGAGCUUCAUGGUGGUGGUGUUGGAAAGUCAUCGGAGAUUCCAAAUUUGAGUAGAAGAAGGUCCAGAUCUGAUGCAUUCGAGAUCUACAAUAUCUUAGUAAAAAUUUAGUGGUUUUGGUGGCUCUCCAUAGCAUAUCUAAAGAAAAGGUGGUGGAUCGUCGGAGCAAAUAUGUCGUGGAAGGAGGAUACGACUAUGACGACGGUUCACCACAACAGUGGUUCCAGAUUUGAAAAUCCGACGACGAAUAUAAGUGUUAUCGUCAGUGGUCGGAGGCUGCGACGUGGAGGUGUCAUCGGCGGCGGUGUUAUCGGUGGUGAGGCGGCCGCCGACAAUGGUGGAUAUGGUGGUGUUCAUUAGAAAUGAUUGAAGGAGGUUAGAGGAUAUUUGUUUUGUUCUUGGAGAAUUGUGAAGAAAUGGUAUCAGAUCUAACAUAUGUAAUAUAUUUUUCUCAAAGAGACCAUUAUGUCAUUAUUUUUUAUCAUUUAUAAAAGCUUCAAGAAAAUCAAAAUACUAGAAAAUACAUAAAUAACCUUAAUUAUUAAUUAAAUCUAGUGGUUUUUAAGAUAAUUAAUCUUUAAUGGUUUUCAUUUGAAUUUUUACCUCUCUCUCUCUCUCUCUCUCUCUCUCUAUAUAUAUAUANNNNNNNNNNNNNNNNNNNNNNNNNNNNNNNNNNNNNNNNNNNNNNNNNNNNNNNNNNNNNNNNNNNNNNNNNNNNNNNNNNNNNNNNNNNNNNNNNNNNNNNNNNNNNNNNNNNNNNNNNNNNNNNNNNNNNNNNNNNNNNNNNNNNNNNNNNNNNNNNNNNNNNNNNNNNNNNNNNNNNNNNNNNNNNNNNNNNNNNNNNNNNNNNNNNNNNNNNNNNNNNNNNNNNNNNNNNNNNNNNNNNNNNNNNNNNNNNNNNNNNNNNNNNNNCCUUUCAUAAGCAUGAUUCAAUUGUUGCCCACGUUGUAAUGAAUCUUUGUCAUGAGGCAUGCUUUCUAUUAGGAAAAAUCCAAAUCAAAUCUUACCCUUGCCUUUUCUUUCGCAGCACCAUACAUUUGUUCAUACAUUACCAAAACUAUAUUUGUAGAAUAAGAGGAAGAAAUUUCGUCUAUUUCCUUUAUUAUAUAUAAUUUAUACUAUAUUAUAAAACAUAUUAGUAAUAUAUCUUAAAUUUUAGAAAAUAUAACAUAUAAAGUUUUUUCUAUAAAUUAAUUAUACAUAACAAAAUCAUUAAUAUUUGUUAAAAUUUUGUAGACUUGAAAUUAAAAACAUUAUUAAAAAUUUAAUUUCGAACAAAAUGACAAUUUUAAAAUAUUAAAUUUAUCUACAUAAAUUAAUUUGUAUUUUAUUAAAAUAGACACCGAGAAUAAUUAAUUUUCAACAAAUGAAACAUAGAAUAUAAAUAUAAGUUUUAAAUAUAAUAUUUAAUUAGAAGUAGUAAUUUUUUUAUUAUAUAAUAACUAAUAAUAAAAUUUAAUAAUUAUUUCUACAUAAGAAAAAUUAUUCGUCAAAAGAAUUAUUUAUCAAUGCUACUUUACACGGACAAAGCUAGUUAUAAUAUAUGUAUUUUCAAAAUCAACCAUUAAGAGUCUACUUAUUAUAUAUUUAUAAACAAAUAAAGAAUAAAUUUAAUUGUUAUUAUUUUUUUUAUUUUAAAUAACACGAUUAUUUAUUGAAUGAUAAACUUACAAAACUGACAUCUAAACAUUUCAUUUACAUAUAAGUCGGAAACGAAACAAUAUGAUUUAAGAUAAUUAUUAAUAACGUCAGUAAUACUCGAGCCCGUUCCAAAAAAAAAUAAUAAUACUCGAGCAUAGCCCCUCAUUUUUGUUAAAAGUUAAAGAUACCCAACAAUUUUCAAAUAGACCAACUUAGCGAGACAAUGUGAUGUCAUUGUAAGUAUGUGUUGUGUGUCCAUUUGGGAGUAUGUGAUUAAAAAGUGUUUCAAAAUUCCCUUUUUGGAGGAAUUUUGACAAUGUGAAGGGGACAAACAAACCCGUGCAAGCUGUAAAGAUCUCUAAUAUCGACCCUUUUAAAACCUCUUUCGCUUCUUGACUUUUCAUGCAUUAUAAAUAUGCUUCGCCGAUUUAAUUAGAGACUAAAAAAUAAUGGGCUCGAGUGAUUUAGAUAAUUAGUCGAAAUGGUAAGUUUUUAGUUUGGCUUAAAUAGAUUGGUACUUAAUGUGUUCGUUUAUUUUUAAUUUUAGAUAUAGAUGAUAAAUAUAGAUCAAAUCUUUAUUUUAAUAAAUGAACUAGAUUAUGACCCGCAUUAAACGCGGGGAAAAUAAAUUAAAUAAUAUCACAUUAAUAGAUAAAAUUGUCUUAGAUGAAAUUUUAAUAAAAAAAUUGUUAAUACCUGUUCAUCAAUGUGAAUCAUACCAAAUUUUUAAGUCUUUUUUGAAGAUCCGUAUGCAAGAUGUUUCAUGAGAGAGAUUAUUCUUAUACACUCAUGGUAAAUUGACUUUUUGAAGCAUUAAGUUGGUAUAUGAAUAUAAUGUUGCUUCGAGCCAUAUUUCUGUUUGUGAAAGAACUAAUCAUUGUUAAACACAUGUGAUUCAACCAAGUAAUAUCGACCGGGUAAAUAGGCAAAACAGGAACAAUUCAAAAUUAUAGGGUCAGAGUGAAAAUAUAGUUUUAAGGAUGAAAUUCAUAACUUUUGACAUAACUCAAGGACGCCGAAUGUAAUUUAGUCUAAAACAUAUAAUGUAGAAUGUCUUUUGUAUGUAAUCAAAAUCAAAUUAUAAAAGUAAAACAAAAUUCUUAUCAUCCAAAUAUGAAUGAUGUUAUAUACUUUUUAAAAACCUCAUAAUGCAUACCUGACAAUAAAGUAAGUGUAAAUAGUUUUUCUGAUGCUCAUCAGAAAAUAUAUCAAGCAGUAGAAGGGGCAACAGUGGCAAGGGUAGGUGUAUUUUAGGUAAAGAGAACGUAUACAUAGAUGUUGUUCUACCCUCAUUCAUCAUGCAAAUAGUAUUCAAUGUAUAUGAGUAUUUUUUUAUGUGGUGUAUAGAAAUAUACCAGUUCCAUUCAUUGAUAUAUACCGUUGUAUUUGAUUCAUGAUUACAUUUGAUUACACAAGUUUCAGGAAUGUUGCAAGUAGAAGAUAUAACGUUGAUUAUACACAGACUCACAAACAAACAAACAUAGGUCAACACAUUAAUAAAAAUCGAUAUAAAGGAUAUAAUUUUGUUUUUGUAAAUGAAUGAAACUAAUAUGCUUAAAGUAGAUUGAUUAAUUUUUUUAAUGACCUCUCAACAGGAAUACAAUAAUAACAGGUAAUAAGCACAGAGUAAAUGCAAGAAAUUGGAGAAGAAAAAGGAGAACAAAGUAAAGAAAGAACCUGGAAAAAAGAAUUUGAAAAGAAGAUAACUGAAGAAGAACACUAUAAAUCGUAGGGCUCAAUCCAAAAUCCUAAGAAUAACAACUUCGAUGUAAUCGUAUAUAGGAUGUUUUUUAAUAAAAAAAUGAUUAUCUUCCAAAAAAUGGGAUCCUAAGAUAUUAUAUUGGAGAUUUUCGACUAUUCAUUUGGAAAAAAAAUUAAGAUAUAUGUUAUAUUGAUUUAAAAUUUCAAAUUAAUUGACUUGCUUAUUUAAUUAGUUUUAAAAUUCAAACCAAUAUCUCAAACUGAUUCAUUUUAUGUGGGAUAUAUUGUGAGAUAAAUCAUAAAUAAUAUUGAUUUUAAUUUUAACUCUCAAAUAGUUUGCUGAUUUAAUGAGAUUAGAUUAGAUUUUAUAUGUUAAUAACUGAAUUAUUGAUAUGUUUAUUUAAUGAGUUUUUUCAAACAAAAAAAAGCUAAACGAAUUUGAAUUUUGAAGUCAAAAACUAUAAAUAAGGAAGUUAAAUUAUGGAGAAUAUUAAUUAGAAAAACUGAUAUAUUGUAUAUAAAUAGAAUGAUAUGCCUUAAUUGAUAACAUAAUCGCUGAAUUUAAAUAUUCUAUAAUUAUUAAAGAUUUUAUACUUAAAUGUAAUUGUGUUUGAAUUCUAUUUGGGGAAGAUGAUGUCAACAAUUAUAUGGUAUAUAAAUAGAAUGAUAUGCCUUAAUUGAUAACAUAAUUGCUGAAUUUAAAUAUUCUAUAAUUAUUAAAGAUUUUAUAAUUAAAUGUAAUUGUGUCUGAAUUCUAUUUGGGGAAGAUGAUCUUAGCAAUUUGAUAUAAGGUGUAAAACAAAGGAUUGAAAUACAAUCAAAGGCACUAAUUGCUUCAUUGAUGAAUUAAAGGUUCUUUUUUAAUAAUAUUAGAGAUAACCGAAUUAUUGAUAUGCUUAUUUAAUGAGUUUUUUCAAAAAAAAAGAAAAAAAAAGCUAAACGGAUUUGAAUUUUAAAACCAAAAACUAUAAAUAAGGAAGUUAUGUAACACCGUAAAAUUUAAAACAAUUUUUUUCGCAUUUUCAAAACACAUUUUCCAAACACAUUUAUUAAUAAAAUGUCAUUGUAUCAUAUCCUUGUUUCACAAACAUUUCCCAAGAUCGAAAUACAUAAAAUCCCAUGUGUGUGUGUGUGUACGAAUCAUGCCGACGCCUUCCCGCGGUCGUCACUGGUACCUGAAAUAGUAACACUGUAAGCAUAAAGCAUAGUGAGUUCCCCAAAAUACCACUCUAACACAUUUUAGCCGCUCGAGGCUAUAACUCUGUUUGACCCUCUAGUCAUUGUGUCUCAGUGGGACCCUCUAGUCCCAACUCUCUGUGGGCCCUCUGGCCCUAAUUCUGUGGACCCAAAGGUCUUUACUCUAUGGACCCACUGGUCCUAGCUCUGUAAACUCUGAAUCAUGCAUAUCACAUAUCACAACAAUUAUAACACAUAAAUAGCAUGCAAAUACACUGGCACAUAGCUCUAAAAUAUACUGCCACAUAACCCUGUUACCACUCUAGGCAAAGUAUAGUGAGAAGACUCACCUCUGGUAUCUCGGUAAAUCUCUGACUCGGUAAAUGCUGGCCUAGCCUCCGCCUAAUCAUAUGAAAUAAAUACCCUAUUUAAUAUAACUCUUAAAGGCUAGACUAUGUCCUCUUAUGACACUCUCAGAAGGGUAAAAGACCAUUUUACCCCUCUCAUAACUCAAAAGGCCCCACAAUAGACCAUACCCUAAAAGUCAACCAAAAGUCAACUUUCCGGGUUACGCUGCGUGUACCAGAUGUGUACGCUGAGCGUACCCGACUGCCUCUUAGAAUCGGGGAACGCCACCCAGUACAUGGCGUGUACUGGGAUUGCGCCCGACGUACUCCCCUACUUCAGCCCUAGCUCUUGAGGUCUUAAACAGUUAAGACCCACGUCCAACUUCUAGAUCUGACCACAUCUAAGCCUCUUAAUCUAUAAAGUUGAUGACUUUAAGCCUUUACAUGGCUGAACAAGUCACCAACGCCCAUAAUAUUCCAUUCUCUAACUCUAGAAGGCUUAUUACUCAAGCAUGACCUCAAGCUAACAACCAAGAUGGAAACUUUAUGGAUCUAAACCACUAAUACCACUGAAAAGGGACAGAUCUAGGACCAUGGAGCACCUUACACUCAUAAAGUCUCCACCUUUGGGGUUUUUAACCCUAGAAAUGGCACAUGCAACAACAACCAAAAGAAGAGGAAAGUUUUGAACUUUAAACCUCUAAGUGUAGCCCCUUUAUCUGUAGAUCUCAGAUCGAAAUUGGCACUUCAAGCUUUAGCUUCCAAAAGCUCCUUUCCUUCUUUUUCACUAAGUCACCAAUGCACAAAUAGCUCCAACAACACUCACAUACACUAAGGACGAUGGGAGGCUCUCUCUUAGGGUUUCACUCACUGAUAUGGAGGCUGAGAAAUGAGCAUUAGCACCCUUUAAAUAGUGCACAAGACAUAUUAGGGUUUUCGCACCUGGGCCGGGUACACCCAACGUAACUCUGGGUACGCCCAGCGUACCUUGGCGAUUCUGCGUCCAAAAUAAGUGCACGAAUACGACCAGCGUACUCCCAAGUAUGCCCAGCGUACUCAUUUGCCACAUAAUUCCUCAAAAGGGCUAAACUUGACAACAAGAGAAAAGAAGGAGGAUUGAAUAGUUGUACCAGAAUCUUGGGAUGUUAUAGUUCUCCCCCACUAGAACUAGACUUCGCCCUCAAAGUCUCAUACUGCAAAUAACUCCAAAUGUUGCUCCCGCAUCUAUGACUCUGUCUCCUAAGUCAGCUCGGACCCCCUCCGGUGUUGCCACUGAACCUGAACCAGGGGCACCUCCUUGUUCCUCAGAACCUUGAUCCUGCGGUCCAUAAUCGCGAUUGGACUUUCAGCAUAAUUCAGGCUCGCAUUCACCUGAAUAUCCUCCAGACGCUCCACUGCCGACUCGUCGGCCAUACACUUUCUCAGUUGGGACACAUGGAAGGUGUCAUGAAUAUGGCUCAACUCCUCAGGUAGCUCCAAAGGAUAUUCUACUCUGCCCACCCUCACGAUCACUCUAAACGGACCAAUAUACCGGGGCCCUAGCUUGCCUCUCUUCCUGAACUGGAUCACUCCUUUCUAAGGAGAUACCUUCAGGAGCACAAAAUCUCCGACCUGAAACUCAAGCUUGGACUGACGCCUAUCCGCAUAACUCUUCUGGCGACUCUGAGCGGUCAACAACCUCUGUCUGACCUGCUAAAUCUGCUCAGUCAUCUGAAGUACUAUCUUUGUACUACCUAUCACACGUUGCCCUACCUCUCCCCAGUAAAUGGGAGUCCGACACCUCCUCCCAUACAACAACUCAAAGGGCGGCAUACCGAUGCUCGAAUGAUGGUUGUUGUUAUAAGAAAACUCUGCGAAAGGUAGAUACGUGUCCCAACUCCCUCUGAAGUCCAAUACACAUGCCCGAAGCAUGUCCUCGAGCGUCUGAAUCGUCCACUCGCUCUGCCCGUCAGUCUGUGGGUGGUAUGCGGUACUAAAAUGCAGCCUCGUACCCAAUUCCUCAUGAAAUUUCUUCCAGAAUCUGGAAGUGAAANNNNNNNNNNNNNNNNNNNNNNNNNNNNNNNNNNNNNNNNNNNNNNNNNNNNNNNNNNNNNNNNNNNNNNNNNNNNNNNNNNNNNNNNNNNNNNNNNNNNNNNNNNNNNNNNNNNNNNNNNNNNNNNNNNNNNNNNNNNNNNNNNNNNNNNNNNNNNNNNNNNNNNNNNNACUGAUAGCAAGAAAGUGGGCGCUCUUCGUCAACCUGUCCACAAUCACCCAAAUUGCAUUGACUCCCCUAGCAGUCCUUGGCAAUUUGGUGAUAAAAUCCAUGGUAAUCUGUUCCCACUUCCACUCGGGAACCUCCAAUGGCUGCAACUUACCAUGCGGUCUUUGGUGCUCGGCCUUAACCCUACGACAGGUUAAGCACCUCUCAACAAACCACGCGACAUCCCUCUUCAUACAGAGCCACCAAUACUCCCUCUUCAGGUCCAAAUACAUCAUAGUGCCCCCAGGAUGGAUCGAGAACUUCGAUCGAUGAGCCUCUUCCAUCAAAAUGGUACGCGUCCCGCCCACAAACGGUACACAGAUCCGACCUUGGAACGUCAUAAGUCCCCGACUAUCGGUAACGAACUCCAAUACCAACCCGACAACUCGCUCUCUCUUCCGGUUUUCUGAUCUCACGGCCUCAGCCUGGGCCCCACGAAUGGUUUCCAACACCGGAGUCAUCACUGUCAAUCUCAAACAAACAUCUUGCAUCAGAGUGCUCUCCGCCCUUCGGCUUAGUGCAUCGGCUACAACAUUAGCCUUACCCGGGUGGUACAGGAUCUCGCAGUCAUAAUCCUUUACCACAUCCAACCAUCUCCUAUGUCGCAUAUUUAGGUUGGGCUGAUCCAUCAAGUACUUCAAGCUCUUGUGGUCCGUGUAUAUGGUACACCGAACCCCAUACAGAUAAUGACGCCAGAUCUUGAGGGCGAACACCACUGCCCCCAACUCUAGAUCGUGGGUGGGAUACCUCGUCUCAUGAGGCUUCAGCCGCCUCGAUGCGUAUGCUAUCACAUGCCCUCUCUGCAUCAGUACCGCUCCCAACCCCGAUAUCGACGCGUCACAAUACACCACAAAAUCCUCCAUCCCCUCCGGAAGGGCUAAAAUUGGGGCUUCGCACAGUCUCUGGCGAAGUGUCACGAAGGAGGCCUGUUGCUCUGGGCCCCAUGAAAAAGCAACACCCUUCCGGGUCAACCUGGUGAGUGGCACGACGAUCUUGGAGAAAUCCCAGAUAAAUCUCCGGUAAUAGUCUGCCAGCCCUAAGAAACUCCUGAUCUUGGUGGGUGACCUCGACACCUCCCAACUCAUCACUGCCUCAAUCUUGGCCGGGUCGACCAAUAUCCCUUUCUGGUUAACGAGGUGCCUUAGGAACUAGACCUCUCGCAACCAGAAAUCACACUUGGAGAAUUUGGCAUAAAGCCUCUCCGAUCUCAGAACUUCGAGGAUCUCCCUCAAAUGCUCCUCAUGCUGCUCUCUGGAUCUCGAAUACACCAAAAUGUCAUCGAUGAAUACGAUCACUGAGCGAUCCAACAUCGGCCUGCACACUCUGUUCAUGAGAUCCAUGAACACUGCCGGUGCAUUGGUGAGUCCGAAAGGCAUCACCACAAACUCGUAAUGUCCAUAAUGAGUCCUGAACGCUGUCUUCUGGAUGUCCUCAUCUCGCACCCUCACCUGAUGAUACCCAGACCUCAAAUCGAUAUUGGAGCACCAAGAUGCUCCCUGCAACUGAUCGAACAAAUCGUCGAUCCUCGGCAACGGGUAACGGUUCUUGACCGUCAGCUUGUUCAACUCCCAGUAAUCAAUGCACAUCUGGUGUGAACCAUCCUUUUUCUUGACAAAAAGGAUAGGCGCUCCCCACGGCGAGCUGCUUGGCCGAAAAAUCACCUUCCCCUGCAACUCUUGAAGCUGCGAGGAUAACUCCUGCAUCUCUGGAGGCGCAAGGCGAUAGGACACCUUGGCGAUAGGCACAGCCCCCGGAACCAAAUCGAUACUGAACUCCAUCUGCCUCACGGGAGGCACGCCCGACAACUCCUCCGGAAAUACGUCCGGGAACUCACGCACUAUCGGAACCUCAUCAACUGACCUCGGUCUCUCUGAAUCAACCCUUGUAUCCAUCACAUACGCUACAAAAGCCCCUACAACCCUGAUGUAGACACUGUCUCGCUCUAGCGGCCGAAUAAAAUGCUGACCCAAAACGUGUACCCUCGCCGUACACCGUAAGAACUCCCCCACAAGUGUCUCGUAUGGUCACCAGCUGUCGCUCGCAGUCGAUAACCGCUCCGAAUCUGCUCAACCAGUCCAUGCCCACGAUGACACAGACAUCUCCCAUCGCAAUAGGAACUAAAUCAAUCGGGAAUUCAACACUGAAAAUCUCGAGUACACACCCUCGGAUCACCUCUGUGGCAUACACUGCCCUCUCGUCAGCUAUGGAAACUCUUAGAGGUCGACUCAACGCCUCACGACUAACACUGAUAUGCUGACUAAAAGCCAAAGAUACAAAAGACCGACUCACACCCGAGUCAAAUAACACCAAGGCAGGUACAUAAUUCAAGUAGGAAAUAUAGGAUUUUCUAGAGGAAAUAUAGGAUUUUCUAGAGGAAUAGGCGAACAUUUCAAAACAGAACUUAUAGCUUACUCACUUGUGCAUAUACAUUUUCAACCACAUUUUACAGCUUACAUCAUUUGUGCAUAUACAUUUUCAACCACAUUUUACAGCUUACUCACAUCACUAGAAUCUUAUGAACUCACCAGCUUAAUUGAUGAUCGACUCUUUCAAAUAACUUGUAUUCUCAGGAGACUAUUAGACAGGUGCUCGUGCUCGGAAUUUAGAAGAUGGAGCAUUACAGCUUCAAGUCUUGUUUUGUUAUUUGUUUAUAACCUCUAUGUUUUGUGAACACACACAUUGUAAACACUUUCUUUCUAAAUGAAAUGGCUGUUCAUUACUUGCUUACCAUAUACAUAUGUCAUGAUACUUGACAUGACGUCCUCCACCCCCGAACGUUUCCGUCAUUCCGGUUUUGGGGUGUGACAGAUUGGUAUCAGAGCAUUGUUUAUAGUGAACUAAGUAUAUCAACCGAUAAAAGAUAUACGUCUAUAAAUACAAUGGGGCUUAAGUGCUCUGGAUAAUGAUAUAUUUUAGAGUAUAACUACAAGUUAUAAAAAUAUACCUACUUGCUCAUACAUUUAUGUAAUAGAACUAGGGUCACGAGGAGAACAGAACUAAAGGUAUUUAAAGGUUGGGCACUAUCGUCAACCCGAAUAGUUAUGUAAUCAUAGCUAGGAUCAAUAUAUCCUGAUCAACUAUAUUCAUUCGAGAUGUGACCAACAUGUGUUUGGGAAUGAUGUGGUGUUGCAAAAGGGUUAAAACUUAACGGAACACCAGUCAAGAGAACGCCAGAACAAGUACAGUUAGAGUUAGAGUACUAUGGGAGUAUUCUAUGAUACGAUAGCGCGAUAACAAGUUUAGAACAUGGCAAGUACAGUUAGAGUUAGAAUACUAUAGGAGUAUUUUGGUCCAGAUAAAUAACUUAUGUGAUAACUUAAAACACCCUUGCGGAUAGGUCUAUAAUCUUACAGGGUAUAUUCAUAAAGUUUUAUAUAUAAGCAAGAUCUUAUAGACAUAUAAUCUGUGACCGACGCUUCGCUAUCCAUUCCUCUUAAGGAAGUAGUGUUGAGGUGGGAUCAAUCAUUCGAAGAUCUAUUUGAUCUUCAAUUUUAUACAAUACAAACUGGUGUACCUUGUACAAUUAUAGGAGGAUUCAGUAAGGAUCGCCCCAUAAAGUUGCCUUAAAGCUCAUAGGUUCUUUAGUCACUUUCAUUCUCGCGCGACAAGCCCAGAUAGAUGUAACCACUUCCUUAUAGUAGACAACAUAAGAGUUCAGAAGGAACAAGGACAAAUUCUCGAGAAGAUUUCAAGGAAAGAUCAGCCGACGUAACCAAAACGUCUUACGCGUCACACUAAUAAAUGUUAAUUAGAUUAAUUUAUCGAGUGAGUGGAAACACUACUCACAUUACAUGUGUUAGAAUUAUUUUCUUACAUGCAGCUGGUAACUGUUAUUCAGGAAACAGAUAUUCAUUCGAGCAUAGUUAUUUCAAAUUCAUAGAUUUUAUUAGGUAUAGAAUCAAAUAUGAAUUGUUCCUAGAACCCUAUGGAAGUCAGGACUCGAUACAUCCAGAACUAGGAUAACCUUGUAUUUUCAGCUUUCGGCUUGUGUACGUUGCUAUAGACUUAUUCCGUCUCAUCUUUGUUUUCUUUUAGCAAAGAUGCCUCCUCGAAGAUCACCCAGACACACUACUCCGAUAACUCUAAUACCUUCUCCACAAAUCGAUGCAACAACUCUGAACGUUGCAGUGGCCGCGGUUGUGGCAACAACCAUGGCGCAAUAUCACCCCACCAGUACAUGUGGAGGUGAAACGCCUAUCGAUUCUACUCAAGGUGAGGUCCUUGUGCACUCGGGAGAGUUAUCCUACAAAGACUUCAUCAGAUGCCAACCAUUGUCCUUUAAGGGGACUGAAGGAGUCAUUGCCCUCAUGCAAUGGUUUGAGAAAACAGAGUCUUCGAAAUCUGUUUAUGCCCAGAAGGAAGCAAAGUGAAGUUUUCUGCCUGCACCUUUGAUGGCAAGGUCCUAACAUGGUGGAAAAGCCAUAUUAAGUCACUGACCCUAUCAGUGGCAAACUCAAUAAGUUGGGAAAACCUAAAAGAGUUAAUGCGGGAAAAAUACUGGCCGUUAGGCAAGAUUCAAAAACUAGAACAAGAGCUGUGGGGUCUCACUAUGGUCGGCUCAGACAUAGUGACCUAUACUGACCGGUUCAUCGAACUAGCAGCUCUAUGCCCUAAGAUGGUUACCUCGGAGAGAAAGAAGAUAAAAAGAUACAUUUGGGGUCUGACUGCUACGACCCAAGGAAAUGUACUGUCUUCUAACCUAGCCACGUUCGAUAGUGCUAAACGCUUGGCACAGCGACUCAUCGAUCAUGGAGUCCGUCAUAGCGUAAAAGUCCCUAUUCCCGAGUCAUUUAGGGAAGAGACCUAUAAUCAGAAGUCGGGGAACAAGAGAAAGAAGAAGCGAACAACGCAAGACACCCCGCAAGAGCAACGAGCGAGUACUAUGUACGCCGCUAUGACACCUACUACUUCAGCACCUGCCAGUCGAUAUGCAGGAAACCUUUCGAAGUGUGGAAAAUGCAACUUUCACUACACUGGAGUGUGCCAGGAAAUGCAGUGUCUAAACUGCAACAAAAAGGGACACACAGUCCGUUACUGCAGGGCACCGGCUCAACCAAUCUCCUAAGUCCUUGGAGAUGAAGAAAACCAAGUCUGCUAUGGUUGUGGUGAGACUGGACACAAUCAGAGGGACUGCCCGAUAAUCAGGAACUUAGGUGCGGAUGGACGCAUUCUGAUGAUCACUACAGGAGAAUCUACCCCGGAGUCGUCGUCGAGUAGUGGUACGUUUUCAAAAUAGUAAUUACUUUUAAAAUUAAUUUAUAUUCAUAUAAGAUUAAAAUUUGGGGAAGACACUUAAAAGUAACUAUAACAACUCACAUGUUAAAAUAGGUCGAAAUAUUCAAGAGAACUAAAAGAUCCGUUAGAGAAGCUAUUAUGGCUCACCAUAUACAUCAGGGUUUUGCGCAACUAAGAUGUUGCAGACUUAGAGUGAGUGACUCCGCUUAGGUCCCCUUUCCUUAAUUGGUUGAGGAUUUGAGGCAGAGAUGCCCAGUCGACUGCUUGGCUCGUCUUAAGUAUUCACAACUUGUAUAUGACGGGCGAUGGUAGUGGUACCAUGGGGGAUCAAGAUGUAAAAGUAUUCCUUUAGUUAGUCAAGCACUUUUAUUUGUAUGUAUGCGCACAUAGCGGUACGAUACAUAGGAGUGUUAAUUUCAAAUAGAAAACAGGAAACACGAGAACGGUUACAAGGAGUACAUUGUUGAACAUACUAGGAGUACAGUAACAAGCAUACCAGGGAUACAUCGUCGUUUAACAGACGUUUCUUUCAUUUGACCAAAACUUUGUUCAAUAUAGAGUCCGUUGUUUUCUUUCGUCAUGAUUUGGCAUGGUCCUCAACAUACUGAGUUCAUAUGUUUCUAUCGCCUCGAUCGGCAAGUUCUCGAAACUUUCAUCAUUCGUAUUGAAAGUCCGACCUGAAUCAAAAAUUUUAUCUUUCGCAUUCUGAAACCCCCGAAGUACUCGUGCGAAGAGUACUUUGUCCUCCGAAGCUUUAUCGUCAGACGUCCGUAGACCAUCACGAAAUACCACUCGUCCAGCAAACCAUGUUCGAGCACAAAGGCUAUGGACGAAUACAACCCACCUAUUACUAUUGGGUGUAUACACGAGGGUGGUAUAUGAUUAUGAUUACGCAUACAUAGUAUGUAUGUUUCCGCCCUAUCUCUUGUCCUCGUUGGGUUGUGGACCUGGGGCAGAGUCGCACAUCCGACCGUCUUACUAACCCUAGUUAUAUACGACUUGUAUACACGAGGUAAUGAUAGAUGGAGAAAGUAUGAAUCCUAUCACGAACGGAGGGGAAAAAUUGCCAAGUCUACGAAUGGGUAUUCUUCUAAUCAGAAGAGCGCAACCACAGUAGUAAUGGUAUGAGAGCUAAUUUCGGGAUGAACAUCCCUCUAACAGGGGGAUGAUCUGACAACCCGAAAUUUUUUAUGUAUAAGCUCAGUCAGUCAACUCAACUGAGUGUGAAAAUCAUUAUUACAAAGUUCUAGCAUGGUUACAGGUCAUUCUAAGGAGUUUUGUGCCUAAAACACUUAAGGAUUAAGUGUUAGAAAGUACCCACUAGAACCACAGUGUAGCAAAACGAACCCUAACCUCAUCUAAGUGAGUUCACAGCCACAAGACCAUGAGUUUACGGCCGUAAACUCAUGGGGCCGUAAACUUAGGGGCAUAUAUAAGGCAAAUGGUCAUUUUAAGUCAUUUCUCUCAUUUCUUGGCCGGAUCUUCCUCAUUCUCUCUCAACUACCAGAACAACAAUCACCUUAGAUCUUCAAAAGAGUGAGUAUUCUAUCCCUUUAUUAGUUAAUACAUCUUAUUAACUAGCUCAUUACAUUGAUUUCAUCCAUGAAAAUCAUGUUUGUUUAGAUAGUCAAGAAACACCAAGAACACACAAUAGUGUCUUGGCCAAAUCGACUAGUUCAAGCUCCUAUAUCGUAAGCACUCUUCUUUUAACUUGUUGUACACUAGGUUACACAUGUUUAGACCUUAUAAUCAUCAUGAAAAAAAGGGUUAGAAGAGAGUUCACGGCCAAGGAUGUUCUUGGGCCGUGAACUCCCUUUUAUGGUGCAAAGAUGCCCCAAUAUCCUUCCUUAAGCCUAGAGACUAGCCUAGCACUUUACCUCGAUGUGUUUACGACUCAAGAUAAUCAAAAUGCCAUCACCCAUAGGUGAUUGCGGCCGCAAACACAUGUCAAAAUGGUCUAUGGGCCGAAAACUCAAUCUAGGGGUGUUUUGAUGCCACAAACACCUCCUAAGACUUAGACUUGAAGUUAGGAUGAUUCAAUAUGACUUUUAGGACCCUAAACAACCCUCAUAAACAUAAAUGUCCAUGAGUUUACGGUUGUAAACUCAUUAGGGACGUGAACACCUCAAAAGCUCCAAAGAAAGUGGUCUUCCUCAUCCUAGGGUAGAGCUAAGGUCCCUAAAUCAUCCCUAGCCUUCAAACUUGCACUUACACAUGAGUAGCCAUGAGUUUACGACCGUAAACUCCCUUGGGCCGUAAACCCAUGGUAGUAAACUCAUGUGAGUGCCAUUCUACCUGUAACAACCCGUUAUUUCCAGGCAUUAUAAACCGAGUCUUGUAACCCCUUUUGAAUGUAAUGGGAAUAUCAUCGAUAAAUGAAUUAUUCAAAAGCUCUGAUUUGGAAUACGCUAUGUGGUAGAUAUCAUCUUAAAGGUUCCAAAUAUAUAAAGAACGUCCAAAUCUGACUUCGCAUGAGGAAGUUAUGAUUUUUCAAAGAAAUUCCUUAAAAACGAUUAGUUAUAAAAUAAAUAAAAAAAAAUAAUAAUUUUGGAAUUUGCCAACGGAGUCUAAACGAAAGUUGUAGAUCGUAGUCUCACCUACGCGUGGAUAUAAAGACCAUCGAAAACGGAGUUCGUAUGAAGAAGAUAUGGAUUUUUGAAGUUUAUUAAAUAAAUUAAUUAUUUAUUUAAUUCAAAAUUCGGAUAUUAUCCGAAGAGGAGUCAGCGUCCUUCUCCGAAGUACGCGCUGCGUACUCCUGUACGCCCCGCGUAACCGAGAGGAUUGGCCUCGGAUCGUCCACGUCGCCAUAUCCGAGGAAGCCGACCCGUCCGACCCGUCCGACCCGACGUCCCAUCCGACCCGGCGUCCCAUCCGACCCACCUCCCCAGCAACCCGUCCCAUCCGACCCGAGAACCCAAGAACCCGUCCCAUCCGAACCGAGGCAGUCGAGGCUUCGGUCAUGCAUGACGUACGCGUACGCAGCGCGUACGAGCGUACGCCCCGCGUACCGAGGCAGACCAGCCUUCCUAUAAAUAGAAUGCGAGGGUUUCCAAAGAAAGUGUUCAUUUCUCUUCUCUCUCUCUCAGCAUUUCCUCGUUUUCCGUGUCCGUUCAAACCCGAAGCUCUGGUCUUUUUGGCUCAAGUCCCGAAGGCCGAUUCUACUCCCGAGAUUCCCGAGAAUCCCAAGAAAAAUCAGUUUCCCGAGACGAAACUCUGCUCGGUUUUCCACCUCACAAUCUUCAAACUAUCAAGUGAGUUCAUAUCCCCUUUGAACACUCUUUAAAUACAUUUUAAAUGUUUUAUACUCUUUUUGGGGAGGAAUACAAGUUAACACAUGACUAAAUUCGUGUGAAACAUUAACCUUUUGAUAUACUUUUCAUACUGUUGUUUUAACUAUCUUGUGAAGUUAUUAUGAUACAAAACCCCUCACAACACAGCUUUACCCUCUUU